Molecule: long non-coding RNA, 7914 nt
Organism: Amphiprion ocellaris (clown anemonefish)
Lineage: Eukaryota; Metazoa; Chordata; Actinopteri; Pomacentridae
Exons: 4
Source: RefSeq, a predicted model, not a curated record
UUUCACAGCCCGAGAACAAAACAGACCAACAAACGUGAGCGAGCCGCUGACCUCAAAAUCACUGUUAAAACAUGGUGUCCCCAUUUGGUAAUUAUCCUCCUCCAGAGAUGAGGUCAGGCUGAAAAUCAGCUGAAAACAAAGUGGGAUGAUAAUGGUAGCGGUGACGACGGAAGCGAGAGAAUGAGAAGGAGAAUAGAAGAGGACAUGACAGGGUGAAAAUGAGAGAAAGAACGGGAGAGGAGUGAUAGAGAGAGAGAGGAGUGUGGUGGAACUCGCUGCUUGGUGUGAGUGAGCAUGGGAAAUGCGUGGGACUUAUGGUCCAUCACUGGCUCCAACAGGAUCUGUUUGGUGACUGAUGUACAUAUAUAUCUGGCUACACAAACACACCUAUGAACAGUUGUCUUUCUGCUACUUUAAAGGAUGCUACACUGACUUGCACUGAUUUUCUGAAAGCUUACCCUCCAUGUAACCAUACCCACUACUUGCCUAACUUCUACUCUAACCUUAAAUGAGGUCUUAGUACAUUUUUAUUAGUUUUCCUUAUAGGGAUUUUGUCCUCGCAAUGUGACUGUAAACAGAUGUAUGAUCCCACAAUAGGAGCAACUCAAGGACAUGUAUAUAUGGAGCUAUACACUUCUGCCCAGUCCGCUCAACAAACCUCCCUCAAUUCAUGGCUGCUGCCGACGUUCAUCUUAGCUGCUCACCUGGUUUUAGCAAACUGAUUCUAUGAAGUUCUGCAAAUUUUUUUAGUCUGAGCAAAUUUUCUUUUAUUUAAUCUAAAAUCAUCAUUCAUAAACAUUCUACAGUUGGUGCUUUUUACUUGUCUAGAGGGUGAAGCACAACCAGUGUUGCCUAAAUUGCACCACAAGAGGGCAAAAUCUGGUCAGAAACUAUAAUGGAGAAUCUCUGGAGCUCACGUGCGUGCACACACAGACACACAAAGACACACACAAACCCAUGAUAAUGUGCAUACAUGCACACAUGCACCCUCCCCUCUAUCUGACACACAUACACACCUCACUCAAUAUGUUAGCAUUCCAUUCUUACACUCAUGGUAACACAUAGCAUAUUCAGUCAACAGCAUUAACUUUUUAAUAUUACGUAUUCCAUGGACCACAUAGAUCUUUGUAGCAGUCUUGCUGAGCGCAGCAACUGUAACCACCAUCACGUGAAAUAGCUCAGUCAGAGUUUGACAACAUGAUUAGGGAGGAAAAUGUGAUUUAUCGAACCCCAAAGUUCAAUUUGCAGCACAGCAGGAAUCCAACAUCCCCACGCAGGUAGCUGUCAUUUUUCAGCUGUGAGGUCUCGAGGCUGACUGCUCCUAUGAGCUCACCUCAUGGCAGAUUAUGGGCCACUGUAGGCCUACGUUGGAGCCAAAUUUUGGCAAGAUUCAGCGCAAUGUGGUCUUCUCUCAUGUCUAGGUUAUUUUUAUGGCUGAGGCGGUGGUGGAGCCAUUGGGAGGUCUGAUUACCCUUUGAAAUAAGCCAAUACAAUCAAAGCUGCCUGCGGUGGAUGAUACAGGGCGCUGUGAAUCCAACUUUGAUGAAGCAAGACUGCAAAGGGCGACUGUCAGCACCAGCAUGUUAUUACACAGCAUUUACUAUGUGCAGCGCAUUCGGCUCCAUCGACACAAGCCACACAGUCCCAUGCCCGUGCAACAUUUCUCAUGCUAUGUUCUUUAUGUUUCCUAUAUGUCUGUGCAGAGAUGGGAGCCAUAGGUGGUUUAGGUCAGCUGUUGUCAAACCCAUGCUGAGGGAAACAGAGCCGCUCAGGGCCAUGACGUGUGCUGUUGCUGCAUGCGUGUGCACUUUUAUACGGCUUUAAUUACAGACUGUGAACACAGACAGACUUGUUUAUUCUGCUGCAUAGUAUACACUGAGGCCUGGUUGGCACCACAAACACACGUGCCGCACACUCACACACACACACACACACACACGCACACACACUGCUUUGUAGUAGUAAAAGUAUCUAUCCUGGACAGCACAGUAGGUUGUACCUGCCAGUUGGGUGAGUCAUUUCUAUUUUAUGUCCAUUAAUUGAGUCAUUUAUGGAUAUCUGUGCACAGAGCAUCAUCACAAACAGGCACGGCCCUUCUACAUUAAAACAUUCUUCUUUUCAACGUUUUUCCGAUAAAUCGCUCACAUCUUUUUCUACUUUGCAGGCUUUAAGCAAUUCUAAGUUUUCUAGAAUUAUGGUAAGCUAUCACUGCCAUAGAGAUGUCUCCUGAUGCCCUCAGCUUAAACAAACAGGCUAUUUAAAGGGCAUCAGCCUAACUUUAUUUUAAGUGGACGAAGAAGGUAUAAAUAGACUUAGAGGAGCGCAACAAGCGAAUGCUUCAUAUGAAAUGGCUGGCGUUACAUCAUUGCCUGUGAGAGUGAAGUUCUGGAGAGGCACUGGGCUCUCUGGGCCAGCCAUUAUGCUAAGCAAAGCUGUCAACAGAGGCAGAGAAGCAGCUUUAAGUGGGAGACAGAAAAUGGAUGGAGGAAGAACAGGAGCGGGACAUGAAGAAGAGAAGGAAGGAAAGAACAUAGAAGUCAUUUAUGGAUGAUUUGCUGACUGAUGUGGUGGCUCAUGUCGAGAUCUGGGCAAUUUCUCUUGGGUGAAGUGCAGCAGAGAGGGGAGAGAGAGUGAGUAAGCCUUCCAACCCCAUAAGACUGGACUCUAUCAGCCAUGCAGAGUCAGUGAUGGAACCACAAGCCUUGGUAACCACACUCACAAAUGCUUAUGUCAGAUGUUAUAAAGUGCCCACGUGGGCCUCAUGAAGGACCCCUGUGUGCCAUCUCUAAUAAAGAGCCCUUUUUAUUCCCACGGCAACUCACAGAGCGGUCUGGCGAGGGCCUUACUCCUAAAAAUAAAGAAAUAUACAUAUGCAUUUUAGGAAUAGGUAUAUUUUUGUCGUGGAGAAUUCAUGCACACUCACUGAUGUUACACCAAAGAUUUUUUCAUGAGAGAAAUUUUAAAAAGGAGGCACUUCAUGGGUUUUAAUUUAAGUGAUUCAUUACAUCUUUCCAGUCUGACAAAAGCACUAAAAUAGGCAGUCCUCUGACCCUUUUUUUUCAGACGACAUUGGGAUGAGGUUGGAAACAUGUUGGUCAGCAGUGCUGUUAACAGAACUGCCAAGCACAUAAAUUCAUCUUCAUUCCCUGUGAGCUGACAUAUUGUCAAAAUAGCAGCACUUAAUCAGUGAGACUUCUCCAAGGAACAAAAUGCAAAGAGCAAACAGAAACACCCAUGUUCAGUUGAUACCUCCCAUGAGCCUCACCCAAAAAUUUGUGUCCUAAAGCAUUUUUGGCACGUGAAAUGAAGACACUGCACAUGGAGCCAGUCUUAGAACACAGUUAACCAGUUGAAGUAAAUGGGAAAAUUUGGAGCAAGAUGCUACUUAAAAAGCAUAUAUUUUGGGGGGAAUUAUAACACUUUACCCUCUUAAAGUGGCUCUUAUCAACCAUUCACAUGUAUAUUUUUCUCUUGGUAAUGAGCCCAGCGAGAAUCAUUAUCUGAAUCUGCAUCUCCAUUCAGCCCCAGGGAGCAUUUUAACAUCUUCUGGUGUAUUGUUCUGGUGUUCCAGCUGCUACAUUAUUGCUGAAAUAACUAUCACUGCUCUUGUAGUGUCAUUUUUGACUGCAGAAGAUUGCUGUUACAGGAAUAGGUAAUGACUAGCUGCUUAAAACAUUCAACAAGUAAAGAUACAGUAUUUUCCUCAAGAGUACAGAAAAUAGACCUCAAAGAAAAGUGGAACUUAUUUAUUUUUGGGUGACCACUCCAAAUGAAAAAGAGGUUAAGGUGAUGAAGAUAUAGGCAGUGCACCAAAAUGCGCCUAUGAUACACAAGUUUGAAAACCUGCAACCAUGUAAACCAGACUGAGCACACCUGUGAUUCUCAUUUAGUCUAACUGCAUGAACAUGGUUGCAAAACGGCCUGUGAUCAUCAGAACGUUCUCAGUUUUUGACUUGCCUGCAUGUCUGCAUUGUGGUGCCUCAUGGAAAAUAAUUGCCAGCUGAAGCAAAAAUCUGAUUGUGAUUCUUCACAAAGAUGGAAAAUGAUACAGGGAACUGUCAAAACACAGCAGUUGCAGCAAUAAUCGGGAGGUUUAGAAUGAGCCAUAGUAAGGAUAAGCAGAGACUCAGUGGCCUACCUCUCAAAAUAUUGCCACUGACAGUGCACCACUUGCACAAUCUAGCUCUAAAGCACAGAGGGGCUAUGAGUGAAAGUCAGAUUUUCUGACCGCUCAGACUGUGUGAAAGGCAUGAUGCAAAAUGUCAGCCUUUAUAUCCAAGAAAGAAACCCUUGCUUGCUCUUUGACACAAAAAGACAAGAUGAAUAAACGUGAAAGAAGCCUUAUGAAUAUUGAGAGCAUGUUCUUUGAUCAAAUGAGACUAAUGCACUUUUUUGAGCCCAGAUUUGGUCCAGCUUUUUGGUGUGAACAUGACGAGGAGUACCACAGUGAGCACAUAGUCCUGAUAGUGAAGAAUGGAGGUGGGAGUGUGAUGAUGUGGGGCUGCAUGAAAACAGAAGGUGUUGGUUAGAUGAGAUUAACUGAUGGUCUCACGAAUUCCUGUGGAUGUACAAAAGUACUGUCUGACAGGAAGACUCCUAGUCUGCAGAAGAGAAAUCCAUCCGUCCAUCCAUUAUGUACGCAACGCUUUAUCCUCAUUAGGGUUGCAGGGGUUGGAGUCUAUCCCAGCUGACUUAGGGCGAAGACAGGGGAAACCCUGGACAAUUUAGAGUCACCAAUUAAACUCAGCAUGUUUUUUGACUGUGGGAGUAAAUCGGAGUACCCGGAGAAAACCUUUGCAUGCACAGGGAGAACACACAAACUUUAUGCAGAAAGAUCCCAGGAAGGCUGGGACGCAAACUGGGGAUCUUCUAGCUGCAAGGUGAAAGUGCUAACCACCAAGUCACUGUGCAGCCCCAGAAGAGAAAUAUUCCACAUAAUAAUGACCAAAAACAAACUGACAAAAUCACACAACAGUUGUACAGAUUAAAAAAAAACUACAGUAUGUUGCUUAUAUCCCGAAGAGUUCCCAUAGAACACCUGGGGUUUGUAUCGCAAAUUUGGUAUCCUUUAUUCGGACAAGGAUUGAGUCUGUCAUCAAAAAUAAACAUGGACAUAUGAAUUUAAAUCUUAUUAAUGGAAAGCGUAUGGACUUUUGUUGGACUGACCUCCUCCCUGUAUCUUUAAUAUAGUAAAUCUGAACAGUUUUCUUAGUUUUUCAAAAGAUCAAAUAUCCUACUGAUCAACUUAGAAGUUAUGCAGUUUCUGUAAGGUGAUUUAAUUUUAUCAUUUGACAUUUAGGUGGUAUUUAACAGGGGUCUUCUCAUCUCUGUUGUAUACUGUUCCUGCCAAAUUGAAAGCUGAGUACACAUUUUUUUUGUGUGCAAAACAUUAAACCUACAAAUUAGCUAAUGUAAAUCAUUACCCUUAAGAAGACCUAUUGCACAGACCUCCAGGAGCUGCCAUAAACUCACCGUACCAUACCUUCACAAUGCCUGCAGAGACAUCAAGGCAAAUAGUAGAGACUUUUAGCUGCUCUCUGAUAUAGACUAAGUCCUGUUCCCUCUUUAGCUUAUCUUGUCUCUGCUCUGAGGUUCUCCAUCCUCUGCCUCCAUUUCUCAGUCACUUUCUGUCUCAUCUGUGAUGCUGCCAGUAGAGCGGUAAUUGGAAUGUGUGCACAUGUUUGCGCGUGCAUGCAUGUGUUCACGCAAGGCUGUGUUUGUAAUGGGUGCUGCAGUGGUGGUGGCGGUGGUGGCGUGGGGUUGUUGGGCCUCUGCUCCGCGGAUGUCAUAAUUAGGAACUGGAAUUCUGGGAAUUCCUGGGAAGGUUAGACGGUCCUAGAAGGCUUUUCAUCUGCUGCAUCGGCCCAACCCCCUCCCAGCCGCUGGCCUUACGGAAAAAUACAACAUGUUCCAACACACCACCAUCACAGCAAUCAAUUACCCCUAACUGUAGAACACACAUCGUAAACAACAAAUACCCCCAAACAUCCUACAAUUGUAACCUCAUGGCACUGAGGUUCACAAGCAUCUGUGACAUGUUAGUUUGAUCUGGACCCAACCACUAAUUCAUGAGCUGGCUAAUUAACCUCAACUAUUCUAAAUAUAUCAUGUGUUUUAUUUAUACCACCAUCAGACAACGCUUCCUUCCUUGGUGUUUUUGUUUUGCAAACAAGAAAAAGUGCUAAAUGCAUAUGGUACUCCUCAACAGUACAAUAAAAUGCUUUCUUUACAGACAGGUAGUCUUAUAUAAGCCUGUUAUAUUAUCGCCAUAACAGUCCAAUGCUGUUUUCUGCAAACACGGGCGCCAGAAUAAAAACAAUACAGUCCGAUCAAGCCAUGUCAAACAACGCUUUUCUAAUGAGCUACCUACCAGGCUAUUAUUGUUCACCAACGCAUUGUCUCACAGGGUCCAAGAACUAUCUGAGGAGCAUUGGCUAAUCAAAGACCCACAUAAAAGUUUGGAUAUUUCUCUUUCAGAAUCUGACUGCUGCUUCUACAUUAUACCAGUGACUCCAAACGACCACAUGAAACCAAGCUGAGAAGUUGGUGAAAUGUAAAUUAAAUAUUGUUAUUCUGAGGUUUUGGCACCAAACAACAGCAGUGAGAUAGCGCUUCUAGCCAUUUUUAGCAGCUGGUUCACAAUUUCUUUGGUUAAAAGCCUGAAAUUAUGCUGGCGGUUAAUACAAGUUUAACUCAAUUUCUUGCUUCAUUCUGAGGUGAAAUACUCCAUUUGUGAUUGCUGUAGUUUCGUGCAGUGGCCGGAAACUAUGCUUGUUAUAACCAUAAUGAUAAUAGUAAUAAUUUCUUUGUUUAUCGUUACUUUACAUGCUGAUGUAUGAACUUCGUAAUCUUAACUUUAUAUUCUUCUGUUUUAAGAGUAUUUGCAACAAUGUUUAUUCAAGUUAAUUAUAAUAAAAAAUAUUUAUUACCUUAACUAGUAAAUUUGCUCUUUUCAAUUGCUAUUUUAAAAAUGUGGUACAAUCAAAUACCUUGCAUUUGGCUGCGAUCACCCAAAUUUGUUGAAUUUCUUUACUCAUUCGCCAUCCCACUACAUGCUUUCACCUACAGUUGGUCAAUGAUGUCAUGUGACUGCCUGCCUUCUCUUACAACCGCUCAUUUGGGCCUUGUAUUUUAAGCUCCAUCAAGUUGUUUACUUCUUGUUUUGAGGAACUGAGCUGAUUUGCUGUCUUGUUCAGACACCUUUGAACAGAGCUGGAUUUAAAUCUGGGAGCCUGGACCUCACCGUGUUUUUUUGUGACAGAAAUUUGAGAGAAUUCGCUUUAGUGUGCCAGCCUUGGUGAUGCAGGAGACAUGCAAACUAUUAGUUUUUCACAGGUUGGCCUAACAUCAAUGUUUAGGACGGUGUUACUUUAUGGAGGUAGUCACAACAUAAACACAUUGAAAAGCAUAAAAAGAUCAUCAAAGUGUGGUUGUAAGUGCUGAAUGGUGACGACAGAAACCUUAGUGGACCACUGUGACCAAUGAUUCAAGUCGAGGAUGAGUUUUUGUGUUUAUUUAAGGGGCGCUGUCGGUCACUUCUUUCUGUCAUGGCACAAACGCUGCCAGCACAAGUGUUGCACUCACUUGGACAGGUGAAAAGGGAGGGAAAAAAUGCUUCUGAAACUGUAUUAGGUCAAUGUGAGCUCACCUCGAAGGCAUAUACAUUACGCAGUCAGUUUAUUCAUUUAUUUUCCAUAUUGCCAGCAAGUGAAUAAAUGAAUAUACAAACUGAUAUAUGCUGCUGCCAUAUACCAUCUCAAAUGCAUUUACACACCGGAGCCAGCAUUUUGGUCUUCAAAUGGAAAGAAGUAUUGUUCUAUCACCAGCCAGCUUGUCUUCUAACACAGUCUAAUGAGGCAGGAACAAAUGACUAUCCACUCUAACACUCUUUCUCUACGUGCACUUCUCUGAAUA